GACGAACGCUGGCGGCGUGCCUAAUACAUGCAAGUAGAACGCUGAAGGAGGAGCUUGCUUCUCUGGAUGAGUUGCGAACGGGUGAGUAACGCGUAGGUAACCUGCCUGGUAGCGGGGGAUAACUAUUGGAAACGAUAGCUAAUACCGCAUAAGAGUAGAUGUCGCAUGACAUUUGCUUAAAAGGUGCAAUUGCAUCCCUACCAGAUGGACCUGCGUUGUAUUAGCUAGUUGGUGAGGUAACGGCUCACCAAGGCAACGAUACAUAGCCGACCUGAGAGGGUGAUCGGCCACACUGGGACUGAGACACGGCCCAGACUCCUACGGGAGGCAGCAGUAGGGAAUCUUCGGCAAUGGACGGAAGUCUGACCGAGCAACGCCGCGUGAGUGAAGAAGGUUUUCGGAUCGUAAAGCUCUGUUGUAAGAGAAGAACGAGUGUGAGAGUGGAAAGUUCACACUGUGACGGUAUCUUACCAGAAAGGGACGGCUAACUACGUG
Molecule: ribosomal RNA, 495 nt
Filed under: uncultured bacterium
Lineage: Bacteria
Description: partial 16S ribosomal RNA
Rfam family: Bacterial small subunit ribosomal RNA
Source: RNAcentral